CUCUGGGAAGCUUUUGCGGUAUGGGAUGGGGUCGCGUCCUAUCAGCUUGAUGGCGGGGUAACGGCCCACCAUGGCUUCGACGGGUAGCCGGCCUGAGAGGGCGACCGGCCACAUUGGGACUGAGAUACGGCCCAGACUCCUACGGGAGGCAGCAGUGGGGAAUAUUGCACAAUGGGCGCAAGCCUGAUGCAGCGACGCCGCGUGCGGGAUGACGGCCUUCGGGUUGUAAACCGCUUUUGACUGGGAGCAAGCCCUUCGGGGUGAGUGUACCUUUCGAAUAAGCACCGGCUAACUACGUGCCAGCAGCCGCGGUAAUACGUAGGGUGCAAGCGUUAUCCGGAAUUAUUGGGCGUAAAGGGCUCGUAGGCGGUUCGUCGCGUCCGGUGUGAAAGUCCAUCGCUUAACGGUGGAUCCGCGCCGGGUACGGGCGGGCUUGAGUGCGGUAGGGGAGACUGGAAUUCCCGGUGUAACGGUGG
This 476-nucleotide ribosomal RNA is filed under the name uncultured Bifidobacterium sp. RNAcentral describes it as "bacterial SSU rRNA". It matches the Rfam family "Bacterial small subunit ribosomal RNA", at positions 197 to 684 of the family's 1533-position model. The record is from RNAcentral. Lineage: Bacteria; Bacillati; Actinomycetota; Actinomycetes; Bifidobacteriales; Bifidobacteriaceae.